Oncorhynchus tshawytscha (Chinook salmon) is the source of this 6257-nucleotide long non-coding RNA. The record is from Ensembl. Lineage: Eukaryota; Metazoa; Chordata; Actinopteri; Salmoniformes; Salmonidae.
AGGAUCCGCAUCGCGAAAAACAUAUUCUUGGUCGUACUGAUGGUGAGUUGACGCUGAUCUUAUAUUCAGUAGUUCUUCUCGGCUGAUAAUUGACCCCUAAUGAAACCUAAGAUGACCUGGGGUACUAGUGUAAGAAAUAACACGUAAAAAAACAAAAAACUGCAUAGUUUCCUAGGAACGCGAAGCGAGUGAAUGGCGGGAGUCUACGUAAUCACACAAUAGAUGAUGCAUUCAGUGUACUAUUUUCAACAUUUCAUAUACUAUAGAAUUGUAUUUUUCGGCAUACUAUUUAGUACGCUACUAUGGGUAUUUGGACACAGGCAUUGUGUGAUUUAAGGCAUAUAUAAGCCUAAAAAGUCUGUUACAUAUCGUGUUUGUACUGUGUAGGCUAUAUGAUGUUCACAAAUGCCUAUUUCAUUACUUCCAUUCAACUACUUGAUUUUUCCCCCAAGACACUUUUCAAUGAGAAAAAUAAUGCAGUUAGUCAAGUUCAUGCAGAUUUUUUGUUGAGACUUUUUGGGGUCAUUUUAGCAGAUGCGCUUAUCCAGAGCGACUUACAAUUUUUUAAGAAAGCUGGGUGAGACAACCACAACACAGUCGUAACAAGUACAAUUUUCCUCACUAAAGUACUUAUCAGCAACGUUCGGGCAGGGACUCUUCUGUCUUAGCUUCAGGGGGAAGCUGGUUCCACCAUUGGGGUGCCAGGACAGAGAAGAGCUUUGACUGGUCUGAGUGGGGGCUGAUCCCUCGUAGGGGUGGGACGGCCAAGAGACAAGAGGAGGCAGAACAGAAUGCUCGGGUUGGGGUGUUGGGUUUGAGCAUAGCCUGAAGGUAGGAAAGGGCAGUUCCCCUUGCUGCUCUGUAGGCAAGCACCAUGGUCUUGUAGUGGAUGCAAGCUUUGACUGGAAGCCAGUGGAGUAUGCUGAGGAGUGGGGUGACAUGGAAGGUUGAACACCAGGUGUGCUGCGGCAUUUUGUAACAGUAUUUUUAUUGGAAUUUCACAAUUCUCUCCCAUAUUAAGAGAUACAACAACCGAGACAAAGCACACAAAAAAACAGCACUCACUUACACAUACCUACGCAUAUAUAUACACAUAUAUAUACACGUACACACAUACAUACACACACAUACAUACAUACCACACCCAUACAUACGUACACCAUUUUCCUCCUCCCGCUCGGUGCUUCUCUCAUCCCAUCCCCAUCAUUGCGUCUCUCAAUACAUACAUUUUAAACAAACUUACAAACAGAAAUUAAACAAAAAAGCUCAGUUUAAACCAAGAAGUUAGGUUCCACACAUGGAACGUACAGUGUAGUUCUGAAAUACAUAGAUCCCCGCCAUUCUAAGAGAAUCCUUGCAACAUAAUAGCUGAUACCUCAUGUUCUAGAUAAUUUAGAUAAGGUUCCCAUACUUUGUAGAACUGGUCUGUUUUAGAAUGCAAUGUACAUGUCAGAUAUUCCAGAGGCACCCAUUCAAAUAGUAUCUUAUGCCAAUCUUUAAUAGAAGGAAUCUUAUCACUAAUCCACUGUAAAAUGAUGUUUUUCCUCGCUGCGAAGGUAAGGAUGUUGUGAAGCCUCCUUUUACCCACAGAAGUAACAUGCCUACUAGGGAGAUCAAACAGUAAAGAAACUGGGUCCAAUUCUAGAUCAACCCCUAGGAUCUUUUCAAUUUCUUGCAGAACACCAGACCAGUAUCUUUGUAUUUUGGUACAUGACCAUAAACAAUGUGUUUGGGUGCCUGUAUCAGUUUUGCAUUUAAGACACUGAGGGGAAGAGGAAGUGGGGCUAAAAGUAUGUCUGCGAUUUGGGGAUAUAUGCAAUCUGUGUAUUAUUCUUAAUUGGAUUGCUCUAGUAUGAUUACAUAUAGAUAUUGUUUUUGCAUAUCUCCAAAUGUCCUCCCACAUCUCUUUGUCAAUAGUAACAGACAAUUCUUUCUCCCACACUAGUUUCACCCUCUGUGUGUUGACAGCAGAAAAGGACCUUAAAGUAUCAUAAAACAGACUUAGACAUUUUCCUUUGUGGGAAAAAAAGCAUUCUUUCAAUGACAGACACAUCAGGGUUACCAAUUAAGGUGGUGCUCUUCAGAAUAUAAUGUCUUACUUGUAGGAAGCGGAUAAGUCCUGCUUUGGGAGUCGAUAUUUCUCGACCAUCUGCUCAAAUGACAAUAAAAUCUUAUAAGCAAAUAAGUCAUUUAGCCUGCGUAUGCCCUUAUUAAGCCAAAAGUUAAAGCCAGCAUCCAGCAAUCCUGGACUGAAAUCUGGGUUGUUAAGAAUUGGGGUAAGAGCAGAGGUUAGUUUGGACCUUCCCAGGAAGCGUUGAACUGACCUCCAUACUUUGAGUGUGUUAAGUGUAACGGGAUUAUUGCAGUGAUCUUCUACAGACUUGAAACUUCUGAAAAAUAAAAGAUCCUGUAAGGGUUUUUUUAUUUUGAAAGAGAAGUCUCAAUGUCUAACCAAAUAGAGGAGUCAUCAUUUGUGAUCCAGUCAGAAAUAUAACAAAGGUGGGCUCACCAUUGAUAGAACCUGAUAUUGGGCAGGUCCAAGCCGCCCAUAGAACUUGGCAGCUGCAAUAUUACCAUCUUAUGUCUUGGCUUGCGUUUACUCCAUAUAAAUGAACUUAGCCAUCCAUUUACAUCCUUUAUUACCUUAUUGGAGAGUAACACUGGGAUCAUUUGGAUUGGGUAAAGUAGUCUAGGUAAAACAUUCAUUUUCAAGAGGGAUAUUCUACCCAACCAAGAAAUCGGGAGAGAGUUCCAGCGCUCCAGAUCUUAUUGUAUCAAACAUGGGAACAAAAUUGGCUUUGUACAUUUGCUGGAAUUUAGGAGUUACAAAUAUACCCAGAUACAUGAAACCUGAGGGAGACCAUUUAAAAGGGAAGGGGGGGAGAAGUAUUAGGUACAGAGUGUAGGCUACCAAGUGGCAUAGCCUCUGACUUACUUAGGUUAAUCUUGUAGCCUGAGAAUUUGCUGAAUAAUUCAAUAAUAUUAAUAAGAGAUGUAAUUGAAGUCUCGGGACUAGAGAUGAAUAUCAGAACAUCAUCAGCAUACAAGCUUAUUUUAUGGUGAACAUCACCAAUGAGCAGCCCCUUUAUAGCAGGCGUUACCCUGAUGGCCUCGGCCAGUGGUUCCAUAACGAGUGCAAAGAGGAGAGGGGAUAAAGGACAGCCCUGUCUGGUACCUCUGUGUAUAGAGAAGCUAUUUGACCUUAGCCCAUUACUAAGGACAGCAGCCUGAGGAUCAUCAUAUAAAACUUUCACCUAUUUUAUAAAGUUGUCCCCUAGACCAAAUUUAUUUAGAGCAAAUAAUAGGUAAGACCACUCCACACGAUCAAAUGCUUUCUCAGCAUCUAGGGAGAGCACACAACCAUCCAAAGCACUUUGUUGGUAGGCUUGAAUUACAUUAAGAAGCCGCCUGACAUUGUUGCAUGACUUACGGCCCUUAAUGAAGCCAGUUUGGUCUCCUUUCACAAUUAGUGGCAGUGAGUCCUCUAAUCUUGUGGCUAGAAUUUUAGAAAGCAAUUUUCUAUCCACAUUCAGAAGGGAAAUUGGUCUGUACGAGGAACAAGACUUUGGACAUUUUCCCUUUUUGAGAUAAGUGAAAUGUUGGCUUCUCUCAGCGUUUGAGGGAGCUGGUCAUUUGAAAAUGAGUGGUUAAACAUAUCACACAAUGGCUCAAGGAUCAGGCCAAGGAAAUCUUUAUAGAACUCACUACAAAACCUGUCUGGUCCUGGGGCCUUACCAUUUUGCAGAUUCUUAAUUGCGAACAUUAUCUCUUCCUUGGUAAUAGGGGCAUUAAGGAGAGACCUCUGUUCUUCGGAGAUAGUAGGGAGCUCAAUCUUACAAAAUAAGUUCUCCAUUAAUUUGGGUGCAUCCUUUGGCAGUUCUGAGGCAUAAAGGUUUGUAUAAAAUGUCUUAAAUGAGUCACUUAUCAAUUUAUUUUCAUAUAAAUGAUUACCAUCAGAAUCAGUAAUAGUAGCAAAUGACUGAGAGUCAGCUCUCUUUUUAGCUAGGUAUGCCAAGUACUUUCCUGGCUUAUCGCCAUGUUCAUAUAGCUUUUGACUGACAAAUCUCAUUUUCUUUUCAGCGUCCUGUGUUAGGAGAGAGUCUAACGUUGAUCUAAUGACUGAUAUUUCCUUUAAUAGGGCAGGAGUGGGAGUUUUAAUGUAGUCCUCUUUAGUUCCUAAUUCAACCUCUAACAUUUUUUGCUUUCCACGCUUUUUCCGUCUCUUAGUGGCUGUGUACGACAUAAUCAGACCCCUGGCAUACGCUUUACAGGUUUCCCAAAGGAGCGAGGGGUUAUCUGUUGAUUGAGAGUUAAUAGAGAAAAAUGCUUUAAACUCUGUAAUAAAAUAUGAUGUGAAUGUAUGGUCUUUAAGAAUGGUUGUAUUCAACCUCCAAUGUCUUGACCGAUUGAAUGCCCCGUUGAGUUUUAUGUCCAGGAUCACCUCAGCAUGAUCAGAUAUGACUAUGCUAAAACAGACUGCAAAGACGUCCUGGGCAUAAAAAAGUAAUCUAUUCUAGUCUGACAUCCAUGAGGUGCAGAGAAAAAAGUGAACUCUGUUGGAGGGAUGAAAAGCUCUCCAGACAUCCGCAUACCCCAGAUCAUCACAAAUAGCUUUAAGUGACUUAGCUUGAGGAGAGAGUGAAGCUAUACCGCUGGGAAACUUAUCAAUAAGGGGGUUCAACAAGCAGUUCAAAUCUCCUCCAACCACUGCAGUGUCCGAGUUUAAUUCUGAAAAGUCUAGAAAUACCUUAGUGAGGAAAUCAGAGGGGUGGGCAGGGGGGAAGUAAAUAUUCAUUAUGGAAAUGUUCUGCCCUUGUAAAGUACCAUUAAUUAUAACAAAGCGACCAAAUUUAUCUUUCACACAAUUCAAGACCUUAAGUGGUAAGUUCUUUUUCACCAGAAUUGCUACACCUCUACUUCUGGAUGUAAAUGAUGAGAAAAACACUUGACCAAACCCCCUUGUUGUAAUUUCAGGUGCUCCUUAUCAUCCAAAUGAGUUUCUUGCAACAGGGCAAUAUCAAUAUUUUAUUUUUUCAAAAAAGACAGUACCUUCUUCCUUUUAAUGGGGUUAUGGCUCCCUCUAAUGUUCCAUGUACAUACAUGCAGUCUGUUACCUGCCAUUGUGUCUUGACCAUUCAAUAUCCAGACUGGAUCCUACUGUAAAAGUGGGGUGGUACCUUUUUCCAUGUGUUGAACUCUCUAUCUCACCGAGCAUAAACAAACAAUAUGAACCCUGAACUCGAACUAUACUAAACCCCAAAAUUAAACAUGUAAAGAUCCAAAAGGGGGUUACGGUUCCCACUAGCUAACAUGCAGGGGAUUUCAACUCUCCAAUGUAGACUCUUAAGUCCGCAUUGCCGCUCAAUAGCCUCAUCCUUUAUAUGUAUGGAGAAAAAAAAUCAAUAGAAGAAGAUUGAGGCUCUUCCACCUAAAACCAAGCCUGGGCACCAAUAUGGAUUCACACAUAUCUCAGCCUGAGCUAUAGUGGCUAUUACUUUAGCAAGAAAAAUAAUAAAGAUACAAAUAUUACUGAGCCGGAGUACGUGAGGACUCACACCACUGUUUCAUGAUCAAAUUCAACCAAAAAUAAACAAAGUUAUCCAAUGCUGCGGAGGUGCAGCUUAAAGUUAUUUACCCGAUAGAGUCAAUAAACGCAGCAGCCUCUUCAGGUGUGUAGAGUUUUUUAGGCGAUCCGUUGACCAUAAUCUUCAAUGUGGCCGGAUACAGCAGUGCGUAGUCCAUCUUCAUUCUCUUGAGUCGAGCCUUCGCCUCAAACGCUUUGCGUCUUCGUACAACCGCAGUGGAAUAAUCAUUGAAGAAUGAGACCUUUGGACUUUUUACGUUGACCACCAUCAGAGCCGAUGUUUCUAGCCGCAUCCAUGACGCGCUGCUUGUCGGUGAAGUUGUGGAACUUUAUAACCACCGGCCGUGGGCGCUGGUUGGGACCAGGUAUCGGUGCUUGAGAGCGAUGGGCUCUGUCCAGCUUCACACGACCAGCCUUAGUGUCCAUUUGUAGGUAGCCAGGGAUCCAUUCCUCAAAGAAUUUUACUGAACGGGUCCCUUCAGAAUUUUCCGGGAGUCCCACAACACGAAUAUUGCAUCUGCGUCCUCGAUUAUCCAAGUCGUCAAUGUGCUCCGCCAUUUCGCGCACACCUGUUUCUCAAGUGCUUUUAUCUUAGCGUUGUGGGAGAAAGAUGUACAUAUAGGGAGGAACAUAAUACUGUAACACAAGAGAAAGAUACACUUAGAGUGCAUUU